This 793-nucleotide long non-coding RNA is filed under the name Olea europaea subsp. europaea. Lineage: Eukaryota; Viridiplantae; Streptophyta; Magnoliopsida; Lamiales; Oleaceae. The record is from RNAcentral.
NAUUUUCGGUAAACUAUUAUCGAAAUUUUAUGUUAGUCACUAAAUUUCACUUUGUUCUAAGGUGGCUGCUAAAUUUAAACUUUAUUUUAAGUUGCUCACCAUUAGUGUGACUGUUGGAAAAGAUGAUGUGUCAGUUUACUAUUAACCAUUAGACUCAUAUCUUGUUUCACUAGUCAAAUUAGUGGAUGUGGACAAAUCAAAGAUCACCAACUUGAAUGAUCAGCAUGAAAUUUUGCUUAAAGUUAGCAACAGCCGGUGUUCUUAACCCUACUGUAGUUACCUUAAUACAAUAGCUAUAUUAAGGAUGUUGAUGAUAUCUAUUUAUCGUAUAGAAAAUUGAUUUAUGUACUGUUCCAAUUUGAUCUAUCAGGUUCUCAAGAAGAAAGAUGUGAGAUUAAACCAGAUCAUUUUUGAAAAAGAUAGUCACAGGUGUAAUUGGUUGUGUCUGGACCAUAUACAACUAGAGCAUGUUAUAAGCAAAGUAGCAUCAACGAUUUAUUCGAAUGGCAUGAACUAUUUUUAUCAAUUUUUCUUUUGCUUGAGAGACUAAAUUUUGAUUUAAGGAGUACUAAAAUUUCUAUUUGAACCAUCUACCUUUCAUUGUGAUCUACGAAUAUUGUAUUUGUUUCGACUUGAAGUUUUUAAAAUAGUUUGUUGGAUAUGGUGUUUAUUUUUAUAUCUAAAUCUUUGCAAGGGAAAUAUAACCAAAAUGUACGAGUCUAAAUGCAAAUUUACAUGUAUCUCGGUAAGGAAGAAAUGCCUAGUUAAUUAGGCUUGGAAAUUGGAUUUACAA